UACGGAGGGUGCGAGCGUUGUUCGGAAUUACUGGGCGUAAAGCGCGCGCAGGCGGCUAUCCAAGUCAGUGGUGAAAGCCCGGAGCUCAACUCCGGAACUGCCAUUGAAACUGUUUAGCUUGAGGACGAGAGAGGUGAGUGGAAUUCCCAGUGUAGAGGUGAAAUUCGUAGAUAUCGGGAGGAACACCGGUGGCGAAGGCGGUUCUCUGGGCCUUACCUGACGCUGAGGAGCGAAGGCGUGGGGAGCGAACAGG
RNAcentral lists this ribosomal RNA (253 nucleotides) under uncultured bacterium. RNAcentral describes it as "partial 16S ribosomal RNA". It matches the Rfam family "Bacterial small subunit ribosomal RNA", at positions 524 to 776 of the family's 1533-position model. The record is from RNAcentral.